UAAGCGGAGGAAAAGAAACCAACAGGGAUUGCCUCAGUAACGGCGAGUGAAGCGGCAAAAGCUCAAAUUUUAAAGCUGGCAUCUUCGGUGUCCGCGUUGUAAUUUUGUGAGGCAUCUCCGGGUAGGGCGCCGGCCUAAGUUCCUUGGAACAGGACGUCACAGAGGGUGAGAAUCCCGUGCUUGGCUGGCUGUCCCCGUCCAUGUGAGGUGUCUUCGACGAGUCGAGUUGUUUGGGAAUGCAGCUCAAAAUGGGUGGUAAAUUUCAUCUAAAGCUAAAUAUUGGUGGGAGACCGAUAGCGCACAAGUAGAGUGAUCGAAAGAUGAAAAGCACUUUGAAAAUAGAGUUAAAAAGUACGUGAAAUUGUUGAAAGGGAAGCGCUUGAGAUCAGACUUCGGUAGGGGGUGAUCAGCCGUCCUUCUGGGCGGUGCACUUGCCCCUCUCCGGGCCAGCAUCGGUUGAGGCGGCGGGAUAAAGGUCCCGGGAAUGUGGCUCCUUCGCGGGAGUGUUAUAGCCCGGGUGAAUGCCGCCAGUCUCGACCGAGGACCGCACCCGCAAGGGUUAGGAUGCUUGGCAUAAUGGUCUUCAGCGACCCGUCUUGA
This 600-nucleotide ribosomal RNA is filed under the name Morchella importuna. Its description in RNAcentral is "eukaryotic LSU rRNA". It matches the Rfam family "Eukaryotic large subunit ribosomal RNA", at positions 47 to 657 of the family's 3401-position model. The record is from RNAcentral. Lineage: Eukaryota; Fungi; Ascomycota; Pezizomycetes; Pezizales; Morchellaceae.